RNAcentral lists this ribosomal RNA (485 nucleotides) under Zygonemertes sp. Hoplo_CB185_SMCP0348. Its description in RNAcentral is "partial 16S ribosomal RNA". The record is from RNAcentral. Lineage: Eukaryota; Metazoa; Nemertea; Enopla; Monostilifera; Amphiporidae.
UUUUUGAAUAUUUAAUAAAAAGUGUUUUYUGCUCAAUGAUUUUAAAUAGCCGCGGUAAUUUGACCGUGCAAAGGUAGCAUAAUCAUUUGCCCUAUAAUUGAGGGCUGGAAUGAAUGGAAUUACAAGAUCUUUUCUUUAUUUUUAAAAAAAAAAUAACUUUCUUUUUUAGUGAAGAAGCUAAGUUUUAAAUGAGGGACAAGAAGACCCUUUUGAGCUUUAUUGUUAGUUUUUUUGUAAAAUUAUAAUAAUUUGGUUGGGGCGACCGAGGAAGUGAGAAUCUUCCUUUUAUAAUUUUGAUCUGUUGUUUUCGAAUAAAAGAAUAAGCUACCUAAGGGAUAACAGCGUAAUUUUUUUUGUGAGUUCUUAUUAAAAAAAAAGAUUGCGACCUCGAUGUUGACUUAUUAUUUCCUUUUGGUGUAGCAGCUAAUAUGGUAGGUCUGUUCGACCUUUAAAAUUUUACGUGAGUUGAGUUCAGACCGGCGUGA